This 484-nucleotide ribosomal RNA is filed under the name uncultured bacterium. RNAcentral describes it as "partial 16S ribosomal RNA". It matches the Rfam family "Bacterial small subunit ribosomal RNA", at positions 30 to 506 of the family's 1533-position model. The record is from RNAcentral.
AUUGAACGCUGGCGGCAGGCUUAACACAUGCAAGUCGAGCGGGGAAAGGUAGCUUGCUACCUGACCUAGCGGCGGACGGGUGAGUAAUGCUUAGGAAUCUGCCUAUUAGUGGGGGACAACAUCUCGAAAGGGAUGCUAAUACCGCAUACGUCCUACGGGAGAAAGCAGGGGACCUUCGGGCCUUGCGCUAAUAGAUGAGCCUAAGUCGGAUUAGCUAGUUGGUGGGGUAAAGGCCUACCAAGGCGACGAUCUGUAGCGGGUCUGAGAGGAUGAUCCGCCACACUGGGACUGAGACACGGCCCAGACUCCUACGGGAGGCAGCAGUGGGGAAUAUUGGACAAUGGGGGGAACCCUGAUCCAGCCGUGCCGCGUGUGUGAAGAAGGCCUUUUGGUUGUAAAGCACUUUAAGCGAGGAGGAGGCUACCGAGAUUAAUACUCUUGGAUAGUGGACGUGACUCGCAGAAUAAGCACCGGCUAACUCUGU